This 1305-nucleotide long non-coding RNA is filed under the name Sus scrofa (pig). RNAcentral describes it as "lncRNA (ENSSSCG00070005213.1)". Lineage: Eukaryota; Metazoa; Chordata; Mammalia; Artiodactyla; Suidae. The record is from RNAcentral.
UUUUAAGCAAAACUAGGGGCCAGCUGGUGUAAGUGGAGGGUAAAGAGGACACAAGGGCAGGGCAGGGGCUGAUCACAGACCCUGAGCGCUGUGAAGGGAGCAGGGGUUUUGUUUUUUAGUAAGGCAUUCACCGCAGUAAAAAUCUCCAUGUUUUAUACGGAUUACAUUUGAAGUGACACUCUGUUAGAACUUCUGAGCUUAAGAAAAUACAUUGUUAAAAUUAGGUUGACCUCUUUCUUUUUACUCUUUAAUGUGCCACCUGUGGCUGUGACUUUCACGUGUGGCUCGUCAGUGUAUUGCUGUUGGCAGUACUGGUCUAAGGUCUGUGGUAGAUGUCAACUCAAUAGAUUGAGGCCAAGUCCGGCGUUGCUUCGUGGAAACGAAUCUGACGAGGACCCAUGAGGAUGCAGGUUGGAACCCUGGCCCUGCUCAGUGGGUUAAGGAUCUGGCGUUGCCGUGAGCUGUGGUGUAGGUUGCAGACACGGCUCAGAUCUGACGUGGCUGUGGCUGCGGUGUAGGCUGGCGGCACAGCUCCGAUUUGACCCCUAGCCUGGGACCUCCACAUGCUGAGGGUGUGGCUCUACAAAGACAAAAAAAAAAAAAAACAAAAGAUGAAGGCCAGUCAAGAAGGGUUCCCUGUGUGGAUUCCACUGCUGGGUGAAAGAGGCAUCCCGGCCACACUGCCAGCCUCUGGGAAUCCUGUGGGGACUUCCUCUGCAGCUUUUCCCUUCCUUUUCAGGGUUCCAUGUGGAGGAAGCCAGUGGAGAGUGUGUCCGGUGCACAGACGGAGUGGAUUACACCAGUCAUCCAAACACCCUCUUUUCUUGCUUACGCUGCACGGUUUGCAAAUCAGGUGAAGAAGAGAAGACCCCUUGCACAGCAACUGCGGACACACGGUGUGAGUGCAAACCUGGAACUUUCCGUGAAGAAAACUCCUCCGAGUUCUGCCAGAAGUGCCACACCAGGUUGUGGACUGCACCGCAAAUUCAUGGACAAAGUGAGUUGGUUUCUCCAGGACCUGGUGGCCUCAGGCCCUCAGCAACGGCUUCCCACCCACCCCAGGGCCCCGGGUGGACACAGUGCCCAGUUUGUCCUGUGCUAUGGUCCCUGGCUCUGUCAAGUGGGGUGGGGGCUCUGGGCUGACUGUAGGGGCGCCAUUGGUCUGUUGAGAGCAGCCCUAAGGCGGGUUGGCAGGGCUAGUGCAGUGCUUCUUAGUGCUUGCAAGACACCCUCACCUCCUAACCCUAGAUGGACCCUGGGCUUGGGGUUGUCCAGCAGGGGUGCUGAGCCCCCUUAGCACAGCAC